RNAcentral lists this ribosomal RNA (440 nucleotides) under uncultured bacterium. Its description in RNAcentral is "partial 16S ribosomal RNA". It matches the Rfam family "Bacterial small subunit ribosomal RNA", at positions 338 to 795 of the family's 1533-position model. The record is from RNAcentral.
CCUACGGGGGGCAGCAGUGGGGAAUAUUGCACAAUGGGGGAAACCCUGAUGCAGCGACGCCGCGUGAGUGAAGAAGUAUUUCGGUACGUAAAGCUCUAUCAGCAGGGAAGAAAAUGACGGUACCUGACUAAGAAGCCCCGGCUAACUACGUGCCAGCAGCCGCGGUAAUACGUAGGGGGCAAGCGUUAUCCGGAUUUACUGGGUGUAAAGGGAGCGUAGACGGCAGCGCAAGUCUGGGGUGAAAUCCCAUGGCUUAACCAUGGAACUGCUUUGGAAAAUGUGCAGCUAGAGUGCAGGAGAGGUAAGCGGAAGUCCGAGUGUAGCGGUGAAAUGCGUAGAUAUUAGGAGGAACACCAGUGGCGAAGGCGGCUUACUGGACUGUAACUGACGUUGAGGCUCGAAAGCGUGGGGAGCAAACAGGAUUAGAUACCCGGGUAGUC